Molecule: long non-coding RNA, 798 nt
Organism: Aethalodelphis obliquidens (Pacific white-sided dolphin)
Lineage: Eukaryota; Metazoa; Chordata; Mammalia; Artiodactyla; Delphinidae
Exons: 6
Source: RefSeq, a predicted model, not a curated record
GCUUCUCAAGGGUGCAGUUAAAUGCCUCAUUAGACAACGUACUGAGUGAUCAUGACAUUUUCUUCCCUAGGGUGUUUGAAGGAGGAAGGAAGGACCAAAAUGGUGUGGUUGACUCAGCAAACAUUAAUCAAGCCUUCAUAUGUGCCAAGCUCUAUACUAGGUACUGGAAUUCCAGGAAGAAGUAAGAAGAAUCUUUGCUCACAGGUAUUUGUGUUUGGACCCAUAUAUGGAAACCAACUACCUAUUUAUUGUUUUCUGGAUUUACCUUAGCAACUUGGCAUUCUACAAAGUCAUGAACUGAAGGAAAGGAUUUUCCUGAGAAGAGAACUUACAACAGCCUAACAGAAGCAUGAGCACACGGACUGCCACUUAUUCCCUACAAAGGGAACUCACGCAGCUAGACUCAGUGUCAUCAUUUCAAAGAUGUGUGCACAUACAAGGACUCUCUUGAUCCUUUAUUUAAAAGGCGAUCAAUCUAUUUUAAAAUUGCCUUCAAAAGACAUGAACUAGUCCGGCUCCAACACUUGAAUUUUCAUGCUGUCUCAUAUUGACUAUAGUAACUACAGUAACAAACCAACAUCCACAGGGUGAAGCUACCCUCCCUCAUGCUGGUGAACAGGGUACUUUUUGGAAGUCAGCACUUUGGCCAACAGAGCUUCUGAGAUGGGAAGAUCAGGCCCCUUCUCAGGACGAGGCCCUGCCUGGAUGGAGUACCUGCAAGACAGAGCAAGUAUUUCAUCUUAGAGUACUUAGGAGAGAGGCCCCAUUUCACUUUACUGAGGAGGGCAAAAUUAGUCU